UUUUAGCCCCGAUGGAAGGGAAUAUCCUUUCUAGUCCUGAACUUGUUUCAGGAUCCUGAAACAAGUUCAGGACUAGAAAGAUCGGAAUGACAGCGGGAUUAGCU
RNAcentral lists this small RNA (104 nucleotides) under Flavobacterium sinopsychrotolerans. RNAcentral describes it as "Flavo-1 RNA". It matches the Rfam family "Flavo-1 RNA". Lineage: Bacteria; Pseudomonadati; Bacteroidota; Flavobacteriia; Flavobacteriales; Flavobacteriaceae. The record is from RNAcentral.